This 487-nucleotide ribosomal RNA is filed under the name uncultured sponge symbiont PAWS58. Its description in RNAcentral is "bacterial SSU rRNA". It matches the Rfam family "Bacterial small subunit ribosomal RNA", at positions 41 to 526 of the family's 1533-position model. The record is from RNAcentral.
GGCGCGCCUAACACAUGCAAGUCGAACGAGAGACUCUUCGGAGUAGUAAAGUGGCGAACGGGUGAGUAAUACAUGGGUAAUCUGCCUUUGAGCGGGGGAUAACCAGCCGAAAGGCUGGCUAAUACCCCAUACGCUUCCGGUCCCUCGGGUAAGGAAGGAAAGCUGCAUCGUGGAUGUGGCACUCGAAGAUGGGCUCAUGGCCUAUCAGCUUGUUGGUGGGGUAACGGCCUACCAAGGCAACGACGGGUAGCUGGUCUGAGAGGACGAUCAGCCACACUGGCACUGAGAUACGGGCCAGACUCCUACGGGAGGCAGCAGUGAGGAAUAUUGCGCAAUGGGCGAAAGCCUGACGCAGCGACGCCGCGUGGGGGAAGAAGGUUUUCGGAUUGUAAACCCCUUUUAGGAGGAAAGAUGGGGUGGUUUUCCACCCGGACGGUACCUCCAGAAAAAGCCACGGCUAACUUCGUGCCAGCAGCCGCGGUAAUAC